UACGUAGGGGGCAAGCGUUGUCCGGAUUUAUUGGGCGUAAAGAGCGUGUAGGCGGCCAGAUAGGUCGGUUGUGAAAACUGGAGGCUCAACCUCCAGACGUCGAUCGAAACCAUCUGGCUAGAGUCCGGAAGAGGAGAAUGGAAUUCCUGGUGUAGCGGUGAAAUGCGCAGAUAUCAGGAGGAACACCAAUGGCGAAGGCAGCUCGCUGGAACGGUACUGACGCUGAGGCGCGAAAGCGUGGGGAGCGAACAGG
Molecule: ribosomal RNA, 253 nt
Filed under: uncultured bacterium
Lineage: Bacteria
Description: partial 16S ribosomal RNA
Rfam family: Bacterial small subunit ribosomal RNA
Source: RNAcentral